AAGUCGUAACAAGGUUUCCGUAGGUGAACCUGCGGAAGGAUCAUCAUUGAACCUCUAAAUAUCAACAAACACCUGUGUGAACCGUCGGGGGCUGGGGGGUGAUGCGCAAGCGUCCCGCCCGCCUUCAUUUUUUCCCGCAUCUUUUUGCGGGGAAAAACGAAAACCCCAACACUUCUCUUGAUCUUUUGACAGAUUCCAAAUGUUAUCGCAAGAUAACGCUUGAAAAAUUAAAAGACAACUUUUAACAACGGAUCUCUUGGCUCUC
This 265-nucleotide unclassified non-coding RNA is filed under the name fungal sp. RNAcentral's name for it is "partial internal transcribed spacer region". The stretch from base 1 to 46 matches the Rfam family "Eukaryotic small subunit ribosomal RNA", at positions 1786 to 1831 of the family's 1831-position model. The record is from RNAcentral. Lineage: Eukaryota; Fungi.